This 1522-nucleotide ribosomal RNA is filed under the name Salmonella enterica. RNAcentral's name for it is "bacterial SSU rRNA". It matches the Rfam family "Bacterial small subunit ribosomal RNA". RNAcentral also lists the same sequence under 1 other name. The record is from RNAcentral. Lineage: Bacteria; Pseudomonadati; Pseudomonadota; Gammaproteobacteria; Enterobacterales; Enterobacteriaceae.
AGAGUUUGAUCAUGGCUCAGAUUGAACGCUGGCGGCAGGCCUAACACAUGCAAGUCGAACGGUAACAGGAAGCAGCUUGCUGCUUCGCUGACGAGUGGCGGACGGGUGAGUAAUGUCUGGGAAACUGCCUGAUGGAGGGGGAUAACUACUGGAAACGGUGGCUAAUACCGCAUAACGUCGCAAGACCAAAGAGGGGGACCUUCGGGCCUCUUGCCAUCAGAUGUGCCCAGAUGGGAUUAGCUUGUUGGUGAGGUAACGGCUCACCAAGGCGACGAUCCCUAGCUGGUCUGAGAGGAUGACCAGCCACACUGGAACUGAGACACGGUCCAGACUCCUACGGGAGGCAGCAGUGGGGAAUAUUGCACAAUGGGCGCAAGCCUGAUGCAGCCAUGCCGCGUGUAUGAAGAAGGCCUUCGGGUUGUAAAGUACUUUCAGCGGGGAGGAAGGUGUUGCGGUUAAUAACCGCAGCAAUUGACGUUACCCGCAGAAGAAGCACCGGCUAACUCCGUGCCAGCAGCCGCGGUAAUACGGAGGGUGCAAGCGUUAAUCGGAAUUACUGGGCGUAAAGCGCACGCAGGCGGUCUGUCAAGUCGGAUGUGAAAUCCCCGGGCUCAACCUGGGAACUGCAUUCGAAACUGGCAGGCUUGAGUCUUGUAGAGGGGGGUAGAAUUCCAGGUGUAGCGGUGAAAUGCGUAGAGAUCUGGAGGAAUACCGGUGGCGAAGGCGGCCCCCUGGACAAAGACUGACGCUCAGGUGCGAAAGCGUGGGGAGCAAACAGGAUUAGAUACCCUGGUAGUCCACGCCGUAAACGAUGUCUACUUGGAGGUUGUGCCCUUGAGGCGUGGCUUCCGGAGCUAACGCGUUAAGUAGACCGCCUGGGGAGUACGGCCGCAAGGUUAAAACUCAAAUGAAUUGACGGGGGCCCGCACAAGCGGUGGAGCAUGUGGUUUAAUUCGAUGCAACGCGAAGAACCUUACCUGGUCUUGACAUCCACAGAAGAAUCCAGAGAUGGAUUUGUGCCUUCGGGAACUGUGAGACAGGUGCUGCAUGGCUGUCGUCAGCUCGUGUUGUGAAAUGUUGGGUUAAGUCCCGCAACGAGCGCAACCCUUAUCCUUUGUUGCCAGCGGUUAGGCCGGGAACUCAAAGGAGACUGCCAGUGAUAAACUGGAGGAAGGUGGGGAUGACGUCAAGUCAUCAUGGCCCUUACGACCAGGGCUACACACGUGCUACAAUGGCGCAUACAAAGAGAAGCGACCUCGCGAGAGCAAGCGGACCUCAUAAAGUGCGUCGUAGUCCGGAUUGGAGUCUGCAACUCGACUCCAUGAAGUCGGAAUCGCUAGUAAUCGUGGAUCAGAAUGCCACGGUGAAUACGUUCCCGGGCCUUGUACACACCGCCCGUCACACCAUGGGAGUGGGUUGCAAAAGAAGUAGGUAGCUUAACCUUCGGGAGGGCGCUUACCACUUUGUGAUUCAUGACUGGGGUGAAGUCGUAACAAGGUAACCGUAGGGGAACCUGCGGUUG